Molecule: transfer RNA, 73 nt
Filed under: marine sediment metagenome
Description: tRNA-Lys
Rfam family: tRNA
About the family: Transfer RNA (tRNA) molecules are approximately 80 nucleotides in length. Their secondary structure includes four short double-helical elements and three loops (D, anti-codon, and T loops). Further hydrogen bonds mediate the characteristic L-shaped molecular structure. tRNAs have two regions of fundamental functional importance: the anti-codon, which is responsible for specific mRNA codon recognition, and the 3' end, to which the tRNAs corresponding amino acid is attached (by aminoacyl-tRNA synthetases). tRNAs cope with the degeneracy of the genetic code in two manners: having more than one tRNA (with a specific anti-codon) for a particular amino acid; and 'wobble' base-pairing, i.e. permitting non-standard base-pairing at the 3rd anti-codon position.
Source: RNAcentral
CCGCCGGAAGCUCAAUUGGAUGAGCAACGGCCUCUUAAGCCGGAGGGUACAGGUUCGAUCCCUGUGCGGCGGA